Molecule: long non-coding RNA, 2251 nt
Organism: Anastrepha ludens (Mexican fruit fly)
Lineage: Eukaryota; Metazoa; Arthropoda; Insecta; Diptera; Tephritidae
Exons: 3
Source: RefSeq, a predicted model, not a curated record
GUGUAUCGGACGUUUGUGCCGUUGCGUGUUUUGUGCCUUCGCAGACACAACACUCGCUCCUCUCGCCUUAAGCUCUUGCAAUAUCAACCAGUUCUAAUGUGUUUUAACGUUUGUAAUAACGCCAAAUAGUGCUUAUAUGCUGACUUAUGUUAAGCAGAAACAAUUGCCCGUUAUGAUCAAGGUUUUAGCAAUACAAUUCAAAGAAGAGUAAUAAUAAUAAACAAAUAAAAAAGAUGUGCAUACGGUGCUAACUCAAUCGCAUAUGCAUAUGUGCUCAUGUGUUAAUGUCAUAUGCAUUUACAAUAAGGGAAUCCAUGAUAAAAUUUACGCUUUAUUGACAAAAGCGCUAGUUCGUGAAAUGUCUUUUUUAACUUUAUUGAAGUAUACGUUUUAUAAAAACAAAACAAACUUGGGAUAUAUUUUGAUAAUACUGCACCAACGAAUGCGUAUGAGGAUAGAUUUUUAUUUAGCAACAAAUAUUAUAAGUUCUAUAUAAAGUGGGUAAUCUAAAUGGUUACACCGCUGACACAAAAAUCUCCCUCUACAUAUCCGAAGCCUUCGCACGAGCUCGCAUCAAUCCAUUUUAAGUAAUGUAAAAUCAAGUUCGUUGCUUAUGUUAAGUGGCUGCCGCACGUAAUGAUGGUUUUGUAUAUGCCCAUCUUCAGCUUGCUAAAAUAGAUUACAUACAGCUGGGAUAAUGGUUUAACAAUAAUUUGGUUCUAGCUUGCCGUUGGCAGAGAAAGUGAGUAUACAGUUCUUUCUUAUUUUACUCUAUGAAUAGUAUACGUACUACCAGUGAUUCUGUAAGGUUGCAGGGAUAUUGGGCUAGUUAUUAAAGUUAAUGUCGAAUUACAAUAAUUUUUAUUGAUAAACAAUACAUUAUAAACAUUAUAAUUUAUUUUGAUAAAUCUUAUCAAAAUAGAUGACAAUUGCAAAUAUACCAAAAAUAUAUUUUAUAAUAGAGUGGAACUUAUAUUAUUUAACAAUCCUAGAAAGAACAACCCCUUGAUUAUAAUCACUAAUGCUACAUUGCUUUUGAAAUACAAAGUGCAGUCCACAUGCAUUUAUAUGAGAUUUUAAUUUAGUAUCUCUGUUUUGUCGGCGGCCGCCGUAGCCGAAUGGGUUGGUGCGUGAUUACCAUUCGGAAUUCACAGAGAGGUCGUUGGUUCGAAUCUCGGUGAAAGCAAAAUUAAUAAAAACAUUUUUCUAAUAGCGGUCGCCCUCGGCAGACAAUGGCAAAUCUCCGAGUGUAUUUCUUCCAUGAAAAAGCUCCUCAUAAAAAUAUCAGCCGUUCGGAGUCGGCUUGAAACUGUAGGUCCCUCCAUUUGUGGAAAAACAUCAAGACGCACACCACAAAUAGGAGGAGGAGCUCGGCCAAACACCUAACAGAAGUGUACACGCCAAUUAUAUAUUUUUCUUUUUAUCUGUGUUUUGUCUAUUGAGCAAAAAAGCUGUAUAAAAAAGCCGUAAAAUAAAGUGAUAUUGUAUGUAUGCACAUGUUGUCAAAGCACUCAUUCUGAGCUUUCGAAAAUGUAUAUAUAAAAUUAUCUCUUUAUUGUGAAAUUAGCUCUUGGUGUAAAAUACGCUGGAUUAAGUGGAGAUACCUCAAAAAUAUCAGUUUUAACUCUUUACGUACAUGCGGUACGCAAUAAAACCCCAUCGAGGAGCAAUGUUUAGUAGUUUAAAUCGUUCUUUAGUUAAAACACAUAAAAUAGUUUUAUCCGGCUAACUUUUGUGGGUCACUCUACUGUGCGUCGCAUUGAAUAAAAAAACACACAAAAAGACGGACGUAAAAUGUAAAAAAAAAUAAUGAGUGAAUCACCGGAAGUGCGUUUGCGCGUGCGUAUCGGGAUAAGUAUGUGUGUUUGUUUACUUAGCAAAUUCGGGGUGAAUUCCUUAGGAAUAUAAGUACUACGUGAAAAUGUGACACAACAAGUUUUGUAUUUAUGCCGUCCAAUAUUACAAGUAGUAACUUGCGGCUGCAAAUGAGCGGACAUGUGCAUGCAUUGGUUUGCUGACACCAAUUGUAAUACUUACUUAUGUAUAUAACCACAUGUACACAUAUGAAAUGAGAUGUAUAGAAUAUAUGUAUGUAUAGAUUUGGCAUCCGGUGAAUGUACAGUUGCUCGUUUAAGUAAGUACGCGGUCCUUUAUGCCUUUGAACUUCGUGAAAAAAAAAAUUAUAUAUUUCCUGGGCAACAUGUCACAAUUUUACUUUAGAAUAGAGUUAUAGCCAACACUGCCUAUUCAA